This 488-nucleotide long non-coding RNA is filed under the name Setaria viridis. RNAcentral's name for it is "long non-coding RNA (SVIR_LNC001506)". The record is from RNAcentral. Lineage: Eukaryota; Viridiplantae; Streptophyta; Magnoliopsida; Poales; Poaceae.
CACCUAUGGCUUUUUGCAUCCUCAUAGUAAAAAUUUGGCUUCAGGGAGCAGAGCAUAUGCACCCAACUAGUCUUAAACGAGCAAGCAGUUUAUCAUAAACUGUGCCAAUGCUUAUUAUUUGUUAGCACUAGAACUAACUCUUUAAUAUGUCAUAGCCACAAACCGAAAAGAACAAUGAUCACUACGAAAACCUCAAAUUUACCGAGUGUUUUUUCUUUGCCGAGUAUUUUUUUUCGGACACUCGGCGAACAAACUCUUUGCCGAGUGCCAAGCUAAAAACACUCGGCAAUACUCGGCAAGUUGCGUAUUUCUUUCCUCACGCUCAAUCCUCGACAUGGUUGGAAUCCGGGAAUAUAUAGCCAGGUUGUUGCGAAUACCCCAGCAUCCUUUGGGCUUUUUCUCUGCACAAGGCUUGAGUAGCCUCCCAUGGCUAUUCGACUACGUCACCGGUCAAUAACUGAUACAAUCACAGCAAAAAGCAAGAUGGC